Molecule: ribosomal RNA, 447 nt
Filed under: uncultured bacterium
Lineage: Bacteria
Description: SSU rRNA
Rfam family: Bacterial small subunit ribosomal RNA
Source: RNAcentral
AGAGCGAACGCUGGCGGCAUGCUUAACACAUGCAAGUCGCACGGGCACUUCGGUGUCAGUGGCGGACGGGUGAGUAACGCGUAGGUAUCUAUCCUUGGGUGGGGGACAACGGUUGGAAACGACUGCUAAUACCGCAUAAUAACUGAGGUUUAAAGGCGCAAGUCGCCUGAGGAGGAGCCUGCGUACGAUUAGCUAGUUGGUGGGGUAAAGGCCUACCAAGGCGACGAUCGUUAGCUGGUCUGAGAGGAUGAUCAGCCACAUUGGGACUGAGACACGGCCCAAACUCCUACGGGAGGCAGCAGUGGGAAUAUUGGACAAUGGGCGAAAGCCUGAUCCAGCAAUGCCGCGUGUGUGAAGAAGGUCUUCGGAUUGUAAAGCACUUUCGACAGGGACGAUGAUGACGGUACCUGUAGAAGAAGCCCCGGCUAACUUCGUGCCAGCAGCCGC